UUUUNNAAUGGGUUCUAUUCCCNAACCGUGUAUACNUACCUUUGUUGCUUUGGCAGGCCGCCUUUUAGGCGUCGGCUUCGGCUGACUGCGCCUGCCAGAGGACCCAAACUCGUUUGUUUAGUGAUGUCUGAGUACUAUAUAAUAGUUAAAACUUUCAACAACGGAUCUCUUGGUUCUGGCAUCGAUGAAGAACGCAGCGAAAUGCGAUAAGUAAUGUGAAUUGCANAAUUCAGUGAAUCAUCGAAUCUUUGAACGCACAUUGCGCUCGCCAGUAUUCUGGCGAGCAUGCCUGUUCGAGCGUCAUUUCAACCAUCAAGCUCUGCUUGCGUUGGGGAUCCGCGGCUGUCCGCGGUCCCUCAAAAUCAGUGGCGGGCUCGCUAGUCACACCGAGCGUAGUAACUCUACAUCGCUAUGGUCGUGCGGCGGGUUCUUGCCGUAAAACCCCCCAUUUCUAAGGUUGACCUCGGAUCAGGUAGGAAUACCCGCUGAACUUAAGCAUAUCAAUAAGCGGAGGAAAAGAAACCAACAGGGAUU
Molecule: ribosomal RNA, 534 nt
Filed under: uncultured Cadophora
Lineage: Eukaryota; Fungi; Ascomycota; Leotiomycetes; Helotiales
Description: eukaryotic LSU rRNA
Rfam family: 5.8S ribosomal RNA (bases 150-303)
Source: RNAcentral